GGAUGGGUGUCCGAGUGGCCGAAGGAGCACGCCUGGAACGCGUGUAUACGUCUCAAGCGUAUCGAGGGUUCGAAUCCCUCUCCAUCCG
Molecule: transfer RNA, 88 nt
Filed under: Chlamydiia bacterium
Lineage: Bacteria; Pseudomonadati; Chlamydiota; Chlamydiia
Description: tRNA-Ser
Rfam family: tRNA
About the family: Transfer RNA (tRNA) molecules are approximately 80 nucleotides in length. Their secondary structure includes four short double-helical elements and three loops (D, anti-codon, and T loops).
Source: RNAcentral